Molecule: long non-coding RNA, 1427 nt
Organism: Zingiber officinale
Lineage: Eukaryota; Viridiplantae; Streptophyta; Magnoliopsida; Zingiberales; Zingiberaceae
Exons: 3
Source: RefSeq, a predicted model, not a curated record
GCGACGAUGAAGCGAUCAUCAGACACCAUCCUCCAUCGCAUUUCGUCGUUAAACUCUAAGAUUUAACCGCGAGAGGAGGAAGGGGUUUGCCUCCUCCAGAUCUGAGUUUCGGACUACCUCUAUCCAUUUCUAGCCACUGGUUCAUUUUCUCAUCUCCGCCAGACCUGCUGCCACAGGCCGCUUCCUCAUCAUCGCUGGAGCUACAAAAGCCAUUGAAGUUCCUUCUUAGGAAGCCGGAUGUGAAACCACGAUUAAUCAUAUGGAUGCUUCCGCUCCAAGAAUUCGAUAUAGAGAUACGUCAUAGGAGAGAGAAGGAGAGCAUGGUGGCUAAUCACCUGAGCAAAAUGAAGAGGAGUGUUGAGCUUACACCGAUAGUAGAUUCUUUUCCGUAUGAGCAACUUUUACAGCUGCAAGGUUUGGCUUACCCAAGGCGAUCAUUAGCGAUCAAAGGCCCCACUUCUGCAAUAGACAAAUGAAGAUUCUACUUAGCAAAUAUGGUGUUAUGCAUAGAAUAUCUACUCCCUAUCAUCAUCAAACAAAUGGACAAGCAGAGGUUUUGAAUAGGGAGAUUAAGCAGAUCUUUGAAAAAUAAUAAGGCCAGACAGGAAAUAUUGGAGGAUGCUUUGUGGGCUUAUUGAGCUACUUUUAAGUCACCAAUUGGAAUGUCAUCAUACAGAAUGUUUUUCGGUAAAGCUUACCACUUGCCAAUAGAGAUAGAGCACAAAGCAUAUUAGACGGUGAAGACUUGUAAUAUGGGCAUGGAUCAAGCUUGGAUUGAGUGAAAAUUAUAGUUGCAAGAAUUGGAGGAGCUUCGGCUCGAAGCCUAUGAGAACUCCAGAAUUUACAAGGAGAAAAUAAAUAUUUAUCGUGAAAAGCAUGAUCUUACGAAAGGAGUUUCAAAUAGGUGACAAGGUGCUGGUAUAUAAUUCUCAUCUCCGACUCAUCCAUGGUAAGUUGAGAUCUAGGUGGGAAGGUCCUUUUUGUGUUACUCAUGUUUUUCCCUAUGGUGUGGUAGAGAUAUAAGAGAUUCCUAAUGGAAGGAUUUUUCAAGGUGAAUGAGCACCAUCUAAAGAAGUUUUAUGAAGGAGUUGAAGAGACGAUGGUGGAAAGAGUGAAACCUCACGAUCCUAUCUAUCCGAUUUAAGAGGAGUUUGUUCCUUUUCUUUUCUUUUGUUUUUUUACAUAUAUCUGUUUAUUUUUGCUUGUUUGGGUAAAUAGUUUUGUUUCAUUUGGUUUUGAAUAAAAUGCCUCCAUGAGUGUCUUCAUAGUGUCUUGAGAAUCGUAAGGGUAGUUAAAUUUGACCAUCAAAUUUUGGAUAUUGUUAUACAAAUGAAUCUCUUAUUUGCACUUGAUCAUGUGUAUGAUGAUGGAUUCGAACUUGAGAGAUUGAGUAUGUUUGACAAAAUUUACUAGUAAAACCACCUUCG